GCUUGCCUACGGGACGCAGCAGUGAGGAAUAUUGGUCAAUGGUCGGGAGACUGAACCAGCCAAGCCGCGUGAGGGAGGAAGGUACAGAGUAUCGUAAACCUCUUUUGUCAGGGAACAAAGACUGGGACGCGUCCCCGGAUGAGUGUACCUGAAGAAAAAGCAUCGGCUAACUCCGUGCCAGCAGCCGCGGUAAUACGGAGGAUGCGAGCGUCAUCCGGAUUUAUUGGGUUUAAAGGGUGCGCAGGCGGUCUGUUAAGUCAGCGGUCAAAGCCCGGGGCUCAACCCCGGCCCGCCGUUGAAACUGG
RNAcentral lists this ribosomal RNA (305 nucleotides) under uncultured bacterium. RNAcentral describes it as "bacterial SSU rRNA". It matches the Rfam family "Bacterial small subunit ribosomal RNA", at positions 333 to 636 of the family's 1533-position model. The record is from RNAcentral.